Molecule: ribosomal RNA, 468 nt
Filed under: uncultured bacterium
Lineage: Bacteria
Description: partial 16S ribosomal RNA
Rfam family: Bacterial small subunit ribosomal RNA
Source: RNAcentral
GACGAACGCUGGCGGCGUGCUUAACACAUGCAAGUCGAACGGAAAGGCCCUGCUUUUGUGGUGUGCUCGAGUGGCGAACGGGUGAGUAACACGUGAGUAACCUGCCCUUGACUUUUGGAUAACUUCAGGCAACUUGGGCUACUACCGGAUAGGAGCUCCUGCUGCAUGGUGUGUUUUGGAAAGUUUCGGCGGUUGGGUAUGGACUCGCUGCUUAUCGGCUUGUUGGUUGGGUAGUGGCUUACCAAGGCUUUUACGGAUAGCCAGCCUGAGCGGGUGACCGGAGACAUGGAGAAGAAGAUAAGGGGAAGAAGCAUAGGGGAGGAAGGAGUGGGGAAUAAGGCACAAAGGGAGGAAGCCUGAGGGAGCAACGACGGGUGCGGGAAGACGGAAUUCGGGUUGUAAACCGAUAUAGCCAGUGACGAAGCGGGAGUGAAGGUAAUGGGUAAAGAAGCAACGGCUAAAUACGUG